Molecule: non-coding RNA, 25 nt
Filed under: Cricetulus griseus (Chinese hamster)
Lineage: Eukaryota; Metazoa; Chordata; Mammalia; Rodentia; Cricetidae
Source: RNAcentral
GAUGCAGUCUGUGGUUCUGAGACUU